AUCCUUUUGUAGUUCAUGAGCAUGGGGAUUGGGGUCUUCAUGCUCAAGUUUCAAAUGUCCCUCCCUCAAACUGUUUGACCUCAGCACAUUACCAGUCUGACA
Small nucleolar RNA from Nycticebus coucang (slow loris), 102 nucleotides. RefSeq annotates it as small nucleolar RNA U13. NCBI's taxonomy places the organism in Eukaryota, Metazoa, Chordata, Mammalia, Primates, Lorisidae. The transcript has a single exon. The record is from RefSeq and is a predicted model, not a curated record.